This is a non-coding RNA of Gossypium raimondii (Peruvian cotton), 144 nucleotides long. The record is from Rfam. NCBI's taxonomy places the organism in Eukaryota, Viridiplantae, Streptophyta, Magnoliopsida, Malvales, Malvaceae.
UGUUAAAAUUUCAUUCAUUUGUACCGUUAAAAACUGGCGUGACUAAUGAAAUAAUCAUAUAGUGACAUAUGAUAUGCCACAUGUACCUCAUGCUGAUGCACAAAGACUAGUUUUUAACAGUAGAAAUAGAUGAAAGUUUUAACA